RNAcentral lists this ribosomal RNA (489 nucleotides) under uncultured bacterium. Its description in RNAcentral is "partial 16S ribosomal RNA". It matches the Rfam family "Bacterial small subunit ribosomal RNA", at positions 355 to 861 of the family's 1533-position model. The record is from RNAcentral.
UGGGGAAUAUUGGACAAUGGGGGCAACCCUGAUCCAGCAAUGCCGCGUGUGUGAAGAAGGUCUUCGGAUUGUAAAGCACUUUCGACGGGGACGAUGAUGACGGUACCCGUAGAAGAAGCCCCGGCUAACUUCGUGCCAGCAGCCGCGGUAAUACGAAGGGGGCUAGCGUUGCUCGGAAUGACUGGGCGUAAAGGGCGUGUAGGCGGUUUACACAGUCAGAUGUGAAAUCCCCGGGCUUAACCUGGGAGCUGCAUUUGAUACGUGUAGACUAGAGUGUGAGAGAGGGUUGUGGAAUUUCCAGUGUAGAGGUGAAAUUCGUAGAUAUUGGGAAGAACGCCGGUGGCGAAGGCGGCAACCUGGCUCAUGACUGACGCUGAGGCGCGAAAGCGUGGGGAGCAAACAGGAUUAGAUACCCUGGUAGUCCACGCUGUAAACGAUGUGUGCUAGAUGUUGGGUAACUUUGUUAUUCAGUGUCGCAGUUAACGCGUU